Molecule: ribosomal RNA, 520 nt
Filed under: uncultured Zoogloea sp.
Lineage: Bacteria; Pseudomonadati; Pseudomonadota; Betaproteobacteria; Rhodocyclales; Zoogloeaceae
Description: bacterial SSU rRNA
Rfam family: Bacterial small subunit ribosomal RNA
Source: RNAcentral
GAGUUUGAUCAUGGCUCAGAUUGAACGCUGGCGGCAUGCUUUACACAUGCAAGUCGAACGGUAACAGGGAGCUUGCUCCGCUGACGAGUGGCGAACGGGUGAGUAACGCAUCGGAACGUACCCAGUCGUGGGGGAUAACGUAGCGAAAGUUACGCUAAUACCGCAUACGUCCUGAGGGAGAAAGCGGGGGACCGUAAGGCCUCGCGCGAUUGGAGCGGCCGAUGUCGGAUUAGCUAGUUGGUAGGGUAAUGGCCUACCAAGCCGACGAUCCAUAGCUGGUUUGAGAGGAUGAUCAGCCACACUGGGACUGAGACACGGCCCAGACUCCUACGGGAGGCAGCAGUGGGGAAUUUUGGACAAUGGGCGAAAGCCUGAUCCAGCCAUGCCGCGUGAGUGAAGAAGGCCUUCGGGUUGUAAAGCUCUUUCAGCCGGAAAGAAAUCGCGCAGGAUAAUACUCUGCGUGGAUGACGGUACCGGAAGAAGAAGCACCGGCUAACUACGUGCCAGCAGCCGCGGUAAU